Molecule: ribosomal RNA, 745 nt
Filed under: uncultured bacterium
Lineage: Bacteria
Description: bacterial SSU rRNA
Rfam family: Bacterial small subunit ribosomal RNA
Source: RNAcentral
ACGCUGGCGGCAGGCCUAACACAUGCAAGUCGAGCGGUAGAGAGAAGCUUGCUUCUCUUGAGAGCGGCGGACGGGUGAGUAAUGCCUAGGAAUCUGCCUGGUAGUGGGGGAUAACGUCCGGAAACGGACGCUAAUACCGCAUACGUCCUACGGGAGAAAGCAGGGGACCUUCGGGCCUUGCGCUAUCAGAUGAGCCUAGGUCGGAUUAGCUAGUUGGUGGGGUAAUGGCUCACCAAGGCGACGAUCCGUAACUGGUCUGAGAGGAUGAUCAGUCACACUGGAACCGAGACACGGUCCAGACUCCUACGGGAGGCAGCAGUGGGGAAUAUUGGACAAUGGGCGAAAGCCUGAUCCAGCCAUGCCGCGUGUGUGAAGAAGGUCUUCGGAUUGUAAAGCACUUUAAGUUGGGAGGAAGGGCAGUUACCUAAUACGUGAUUGUUUUGACGUUACCGACAGAAUAAGCACCGGCUAACUCUGUGCCAGCAGCCGCGGUAAUACAGAGGGUGCAAGCGUUAAUCGGAAUUACUGGGCGUAAAGCGCGCGUAGGUGGUUCGUUAAGUUGGAUGUGAAAUCCCCGGGCUCAACCUGGGAACUGCAUUCAAAACUGACGAGCUAGAGUAUGGUAGAGGGUGGUGGAAUUUCCUGUGUAGCGGUGAAAUGCGUAGAUAUAGGAAGGAACACCAGUGGCGAAGGCGACCACCUGGACUGAUACUGACACUGAGGUGCGAAAGCGUGGGGAGCAAAC